AAACCGCCUAGAGGUAAACGGGUGGAUCCGCAAAGUCGGCCCGCGGAAUUCAGCUCGGAAGGCUGGCGCGAGCGGCGGGCAAGAGAUCUGAUGGGACUCUCCCGUCGCUCGACCGCUGGUCGGCCGUGUGCACUUUCCGCGGGCAGAGCGCCACGACCGGUUCCCGGGCGGUCAGAAGGCGGCGAGGAAGGUAGGUGGUUGCUUCGGCGGCCACUGUUACAGCCUCGCCUGUCCCGACCCGCUGGGGGACCGAGGAGCCGCCGUCGGUCGCGGCCACUCCGCUCUCUCGGGGAGUUCGACUGGCAGAGACUGGGCAACCGUGUCUGCUGACUGCUCUCUCGGAUGGUCGGAGCGGGCCUGGCCGGCACAGGGUCGGUGGCGAAUCGGUCGGCCCUCCACCCGACCCGUCUUGAAACACGGACCAAGGAGUCUAACAUGCGCGCGAGUCGUUGGGUAGUACGAAACCCGAAGGCGAAGUGAAAGCGAGGGCGCGCCUCUGGUGCGCUCAGGUGGGAUCCCGCUCCUCACGGGGAGUGGGCGCACCGCCGGCCCGUCUCGUCCGCGUUGUCGGUGAGGCGGAGCAAGAGCGUGCACGUUGGGACCCGAAAGAUGGUGAACUAUGCCUGAGUAGGAUGAAGCCAGAGGAAACUCUGGUGGAGGUCCGCAGCGAUUCUGACGUGCAAAUCGAUCGUCAAACUUGGGUAUAGGGGCGAAAGACUAAUCGAACCAUCUAGUAGCUGGUUCCCUC
RNAcentral lists this ribosomal RNA (748 nucleotides) under Koreoleptoxis globus ovalis. RNAcentral's name for it is "eukaryotic LSU rRNA". It matches the Rfam family "Eukaryotic large subunit ribosomal RNA", at positions 402 to 961 of the family's 3401-position model. The record is from RNAcentral. Lineage: Eukaryota; Metazoa; Mollusca; Gastropoda; Pleuroceridae.